CCUGCCGUUCCUCCGGCAGUAGCCUAGGGAUGCAGGCAUGACGGGAGACUGCUGUGUCUGAAGCCAUCCUGACAAUGUACUCCGACCCCGAAAGGGUGAAGCGGAACCCGCGAGGGCGACGCGAAGCUGUAAGCAUUAUGCGGCAGGAGGC
RNAcentral lists this non-coding RNA (151 nucleotides) under Xanthobacter flavus. Lineage: Bacteria; Pseudomonadati; Pseudomonadota; Alphaproteobacteria; Hyphomicrobiales; Xanthobacteraceae. The record is from RNAcentral.